This 252-nucleotide ribosomal RNA is filed under the name uncultured bacterium. RNAcentral's name for it is "partial 16S ribosomal RNA". It matches the Rfam family "Bacterial small subunit ribosomal RNA", at positions 524 to 776 of the family's 1533-position model. The record is from RNAcentral.
UACGUAGGGAGCGAGCGUUGUCCGGAAUUACUGAGUGUAAAGGGAGCGUAGGCGGGACUGCAAGUUGGGUGUCAAAUCUACCGGCUCAACCGGUAGCCGCACUCAAAACUGCAGUUCUUGAGUGAAGUAGAGGCAGGCGGAAUUCCUAGUGUAGCGGUGAAAUGCGUAGAUAUUAGGAGGAACACCAGUGGCGAAGGCGGCCUGCUGGGCUUUUACUGACGCUGAGGCUCGAAAGUGUGGGGAGCAAACAGG